RNAcentral lists this ribosomal RNA (404 nucleotides) under uncultured bacterium. RNAcentral's name for it is "bacterial SSU rRNA". It matches the Rfam family "Bacterial small subunit ribosomal RNA", at positions 355 to 776 of the family's 1533-position model. The record is from RNAcentral.
UUAGGAAUCUUCCACAAUGGACGAAAGUCUGAUGGAGCGACACCGCGUGAAGGAUGAAGGCUUUAUUGUUGUAAACUUCUGUUCUGUGGGACGAUAAUGACGGUACCACAGGAGAAAGGGGCAGCAAACUACGUGCCAGCAGCUGCGGUAAUACGUAGGCCCCGAGCGUUAUCCGGAAUCACUGGGCGUAAAGCGUCUGUAGGUGGAGAAAUAAGUUUCAUGUGAAAGACCGGGGCUCAACCCCGUGUUUGUGUGAAAUACUGUUUUUCUAGAAUCAGGGAGAGGGAAGCGGAAUUAUGCGAGUAGGGGUGCAAUCCGUUGAUACGCAUAAGAACACCAAAAGCGAAGGCAGCUUCCUGGAACUGUAUUGACACUGAGAGACGAAAGCGUGGGGAGCGAAAAGG